Molecule: ribosomal RNA, 465 nt
Filed under: uncultured bacterium
Lineage: Bacteria
Description: partial 16S ribosomal RNA
Rfam family: Bacterial small subunit ribosomal RNA
Source: RNAcentral
CCUACGGGGGGCUGCAGUGGGGAAUUUUGCGCAAUGCUCGUAAGAGUGACGCAGCGACGCCGCGUGAAUGACGAAGGCCUUCGGGUCGUAAAGUUCUUUCGACAGGGAAGAAAAUGCCUAUAAGUAACUGUGUAUGUAUUGACGGUACCUGUAUAAGCAGCACCGGCUAACUCCGUGCCAGCAGCCGCGGUAAUACGGAGGGGGCGAGCGUUGUUCGGAGGGACUGGGCGUAAAGAGCACGUAGGCGGUGUUGUAAGUCAUUAGUCAAAGACUAGAGCUCAACUUUAGUAAGGCUAGUGAUACUAUAAUACUAGAGUAUCAGAGAGGAUUGCAGAAUUCCUGGUGUAGCGGUGAAAUGCGUAGAUAUCAGGAGGAAUACCGUUAGCGAAGGCGGCAAUCUGGCUGGAAACUGACGCUGAGGUGCGAAAGCGUGGGUAGCAAACAGGAUUAGAUACCCUUGUAGUC